Non-coding RNA from Irpex rosettiformis, 87 nucleotides. The record is from the annotation of a GenBank genome assembly. NCBI's taxonomy places the organism in Eukaryota, Fungi, Basidiomycota, Agaricomycetes, Polyporales, Irpicaceae.
GGGCACAUGGUGUAGUUGGUUAUCACAUCCGCUUAGCAUUAGCUUUGUGUUUGCGGGGGGUGCUGGGUUCAAUUCCCAGUGUGUCCA